This is a long non-coding RNA of Mastomys coucha (southern multimammate mouse), 447 nucleotides long. RefSeq lists it as uncharacterized. The transcript is spliced from 4 exons. NCBI's taxonomy places the organism in Eukaryota, Metazoa, Chordata, Mammalia, Rodentia, Muridae. The record is from RefSeq and is a predicted model, not a curated record.
GAGACAUUCAAAGAAGUUUGGUACACAUCCAGAAUCAAGAUAAUCUUCUGAGUCCCAAACGGAAAAAGUAAUCAACUGCCAAGGAGAACAUCUGUGCUCCCUCACAGUAUAAUCCCCAGCACACUGAAAAUGUGCACAACAACAAACCUUCAUCUCUUACAUGUGCUAAUCCAGGAUAUACAUGCAACAUCUUUUGCUACUUCAAAUAAAACUAUCAGAGCAUAUGUUCAGAUUGACAAUGCUUCCUUGAAGAGCCAAGUACUAUCUAGUAAAAAUCACAAUCUCAAAAAUCAGAAGCCUGAGAUUGGAAAUGGAGAUGUCCAGUGGAUGGGAAUGAGAAGCUGACUGAUUCUGGAAAGAAGUUGGACUUAUUCCACCAUGAGCCGGAAAGCUUUUAUUACUUUGUGAUUUUCUCUAAAGCAAGAAUGCACCUCAAGAUCUAAAGCA